GGCGCCUUAGCUCAGUCGGUAGAGCAACGGACUGAAAAUCCGUGUGUCCCCCGUUCGAUUCGGGGAGGCGCCACGA
RNAcentral lists this transfer RNA (76 nucleotides) under Calditrichia bacterium. Its description in RNAcentral is "tRNA-Phe". It matches the Rfam family "tRNA". From Rfam's summary of the family: Transfer RNA (tRNA) molecules are approximately 80 nucleotides in length. The record is from RNAcentral. Lineage: Bacteria; Pseudomonadati; Calditrichota; Calditrichia.